Molecule: ribosomal RNA, 429 nt
Filed under: Pseudomonadota bacterium
Lineage: Bacteria; Pseudomonadati; Pseudomonadota
Description: Proteobacteria bacterium partial 16S ribosomal RNA
Rfam family: Bacterial small subunit ribosomal RNA
Source: RNAcentral
UGGGGAAUAUUGGACAAUGGGCGAAAGCCUGAUCCAGCCAUGCCGCGUGUGUGAAGAAGGUCUUCGGAUUGUAAAGCACUUUAAGUUGGGAGGAAGGGCAGUAAACGAAUACCUUGCUGUUUUGACGUUACCGACAGAAUAAGCACCGGCUAACUCUGUGCCAGCAGCCGCGGUAAUACAGAGGGUGCAAGCGUUAAUCGGAAUUACUGGGCGUAAAGCGCGCGUAGGUGGUUCGUUAAGUUGAAUGUGAAAGCCCCGGGCUCAACCUGGGAACUGCAUCCAAAACUGGCGAGCUAGAGUAGGGCAGAGGGUGGUGGAAUUUCCUGUGUAGCGGUGAGAUGCGUAGAUAUAGGAAGGAACACCAGUGGCGAAGGCGACCACCUGGGCUCAUACUGACACUGAGGUGCGAAAGCGUGGGGAGCAAACAGG